This 73-nucleotide transfer RNA is filed under the name Paramuricea clavata. It matches the Rfam family "tRNA". From Rfam's summary of the family: Transfer RNA (tRNA) molecules are approximately 80 nucleotides in length. The record is from Rfam by way of RNAcentral. Lineage: Eukaryota; Metazoa; Cnidaria; Anthozoa; Malacalcyonacea; Plexauridae.
GACCGCGUAGCUCAGUUGGCAGAGCGUUGGGCUAAUAUUCCAAAGGUCGUAGGUUCGAUUCCCACCGUGCCCA